This 882-nucleotide long non-coding RNA is filed under the name Prunus dulcis (almond). RNAcentral describes it as "sRNA ncRNA". Lineage: Eukaryota; Viridiplantae; Streptophyta; Magnoliopsida; Rosales; Rosaceae. The record is from RNAcentral.
AUGUCUUUAGAUUUUAUCAUAUUUCAUCCACAAUUCCGUCAAUAAUGUCAAGUGCGGUGCACGUGGAACAAAAAACAGAGGACAAUUUCGACACAGCGAGCAACAAUCACGUCUUACAUGGUCAUAUGGCUCCAAGUCAACGCCUUCAAUGGCCAUAUGGAUGGACUUCUACAGAGAGAGAGAGAGAGAGAGAGAGAGAGAAAGACCCAAUCGAUGGCCAGCACUGGAGCCGCCGCUUCUUCUGCUCCGGUUGAAUCGGCGAAAGAAAGUCUUCCACUUUGGGCCGGCGACGAUCUCCACUCCCGAAGCUUAUAGAAGGCUUUGAGGUCGCGGGACCACGAGCAGUCGUCGUUUUGGUUUACUCACAUCCGCUCCCACCAGGCUGACGGUGACGGGAUAUAGAAGCUACAUCGCGAACUGGUUACUAUUGACUCCAAGUGCAACGUUUUCCAUGGCCAUAUAGACUUAUAGAGAUGAAGAGAGAGAGAGAGAGAGAGAGAGAGAGAGAGAGAGAGAGAGAGACUUCGGAAAACCCCCAAUUGAACAAUUGUGUCUCUCUCUGUAAAACCCCCAUUGAACAAGGCGCUGCUAUCUCCACUUUUGUGAUCCAAUCCACGUGCUCGACUUGGACUUGGCUGAACAUGUAUGUUCCUUCGCAUCUUCAAACCACUUCCUCUUCUUCUCCUUCUUAACCAUCUACAAUGAUGGGUAUGUUGAAACAAUUAUCUGUAAUGGUGGAAUUUGGGAAAUUAGGGCUGCUAUGUUUUUAAUUUGACCUACCUAUUAGGGAAGAUGAAGAUUGGUAGGGAAAGGGGUUAGAAUGACUAUAUUGCCCCUCCAAUUAUGUUGCGCAUGUGUCUCAUGUGUCUCACGUGCCAUUUC